Non-coding RNA from Megalopta genalis, 479 nucleotides. NCBI's taxonomy places the organism in Eukaryota, Metazoa, Arthropoda, Insecta, Hymenoptera, Halictidae. The record is from RefSeq and is a predicted model, not a curated record.
AUAAAAAUUAAAAGGACUCUUGUUUUUUAACUUUUUUAUCUGAGCCUACAACGAAAGUACCAUUGACUAUGAACUACGUUUACGUUUCAUUAACGCGUAGGAAACUUAGUUUCCUAGUUAUUGCCAAUUUCUGAGCUCGAGGUCAUCCGAAGGUCAUUGCAUGGUGGAUCACUGAAUUCAUUUUUUCAUCAGCAUUUUUUCAUAAUGCUAUUUAAAAAAGUCAAGAUUGGUCUAAAUGCCUCAAAAAACGUGGCUUCCGUUAUGGUGAACACCCUGUAUAAAGUUACCUAGUCUACGGGACAUGGUCAGCUCUUCUAGGAAGUUAAGGACCAAUAAGGAUGACCCUUGGUACAACGUGGCGUUAGUUUCUUCUGAAAUCCUUGCGUUAUCCUGGAUGUAUAUGCGAUAAUCCUGUUGCAAUCUAGUCGAAAAAUAUGCGCCAUAGUCUAGGUCAGGGGUGUCAAACUCAAAAGCUAACU